GAAAUGCGAUAAGUAAUGUGAAUUGCAGAAUUCAGUGAAUCAUCGAAUCUUUGAACGCACAUUGCGCCCUUUGGUAUUCCAAAGGGCAUGCCUGUUCGAGCGUCAUUUGUACCCUCAAGCUUUGCCUGGUGUUGGGCGUCUUGUCUCUAGCUUUGCUGGAGACUCGCCUUAAAGUAAUUGGCAGCCGGCCUACUGGUUUCGGAGCGCAGCACAAGUCGCACUCUCUAUCACAAAAUGUCUAGCAUCCAUUAAGCCUUUUUUUCACCUUUUUUCCUGGGAUCAGGUAGGACUACCCGCUGAACUUAA
RNAcentral lists this unclassified non-coding RNA (306 nucleotides) under uncultured fungus. RNAcentral describes it as "sequence contains ITS1". The stretch from base 1 to 105 matches the Rfam family "5.8S ribosomal RNA", at positions 50 to 154 of the family's 154-position model. The record is from RNAcentral. Lineage: Eukaryota; Fungi.